Molecule: RNase P RNA, 345 nt
Filed under: human gut metagenome
Description: Bacterial RNase P class A
Rfam family: Bacterial RNase P class A
About the family: Ribonuclease P (RNase P) is a ubiquitous endoribonuclease, found in archaea, bacteria and eukarya as well as chloroplasts and mitochondria. Its best characterised activity is the generation of mature 5'-ends of tRNAs by cleaving the 5'-leader elements of precursor-tRNAs.
Source: RNAcentral
GUAAGACAGAUGAUCGCGUGCAUCUUCGGGAUGUAUGAGGAAAGUCCGGGCUCCACAGGGCAUGGAUGCCGGAUAACGUCCGGCGUAGGUAACUAUAGGGAAAGUGCAACAGAAACACACCGCCGAAACGGGUCAUGCCGUGGCAAGGUUGAAAUUGUGAGGUAAGAGCUCACAGGGAAAUAUGGUAACAUAUCUCCCGUGUAAACCCCAUCCGGAGCAAGACCAAAUAGGACAUGGAAAGCGGCGGCCCGUCGCUGUCCGGGAGGUAGGUCGCAUGAGCCUGGUGGCAACAUCAGGCCAAGAUAGAUGAUCGUCUGAUACAGAACCCGGCUUACAGUCUUGCCC